This 1451-nucleotide ribosomal RNA is filed under the name uncultured organism. RNAcentral describes it as "SSU rRNA". It matches the Rfam family "Bacterial small subunit ribosomal RNA". The record is from RNAcentral.
ACGCUGGCGGCAGGCCUAACACAUGCAAGUCGAACGGUAACAGGAAUCAGCUUGCUGAUUCGCUGACGAGUGGCGGACGGGUGAGUAAUGUCUGGGAAACUGCCUGAUGGAGGGGGAUAACUACUGGAAACGGUAGCUAAUACCGCAUAACGUCGCAAGACCAAAGAGGGGGACCUUCGGGCCUCUUGCCAUCGGAUGUGCCCAGAUGGGAUUAGCUAGUAGGUGGGGUAAAGGCUCACCUAGGCGACGAUCCCUAGCUGGUCUGAGAGGAUGACCAGCCACACUGGAACUGAGACACGGUCCAGACUCCUACGGGAGGCAGCAGUGGGGAAUAUUGCACAAUGGGCGCAAGCCUGAUGCAGCCAUGCCGCGUGUAUGAAGAAGGCCUUCGGGUUGUAAAGUACUUUCAGCGGGGAGGAAGGGAGUAAAGUUAAUACCUUUGCUCAUUGACGUUACCCGCAGAAGAAGCACCGGCUAACUCCGUGCCCAGCAGCCGCGGUAAUACGGAGGGUGCAAGCGUUAAUCGGAAUUACUGGGCGUAAAGCGCACGCAGGCGGUUUGUUAAGUCAGAUGUGAAAUCCCCGGGCUCAACCUGGGAACUGCAUCUGAUACUGGCAAGCUUUGAGUCUCGUAGAGGGGGGUAGAAUUCCAGGUGUAGCGGUGAAAAUGCGUAGAGAUCUGGAGGAAUACCGGUGGCGAAGGCGGCCCCCUGGACGAAGACUGACGCUCAGGUGCGAAAGCGUGGGGAGCAAACAGGAUUAGAUACCCUGGUAGUCCACGCCGUAAACGAUGUCGACUUGGAGGUUGUGCCCUUGAGGCGUGGCUUCCGGAGCUAACGCGUUAAGUCGACCGCCUGGGGAGUACGGCCGCAAGGUUAAAACUCAAAUGAAUUGACGGGGGCCCGCACAAGCGGUGGAGCAUGUGGUUUAAUUCGAUGCAACGCGAAGAACCUUACCUGGUCUUGACAUCCACGGAAGUUUUCAGAGAUGAGAAUGUGCCUUCGGGAACCGUGAGACAGGUGCUGCAUGGCUGUCGUCAGCUCGUGUUGUGAAAUGUUGGGUUAAGUCCCGCAACGAGCGCAACCCUUAUCCUUUGUUGCCAGCGGUCCGGCCGGGAACUCAAAGGAGACUGCCAGUGAUAAACUGGAGGAAGGUGGGGAUGACGUCAAGUCAUCAUGGCCCUUACGACCAGGGCUACACACGUGCUACAAUGGCGCAUACAAAGAGAAGCGACCUCGCGAGAGCAAGCGGACCUCAUAAAGUGCGUCGUAGUCCGGAUUGGAGUCUGCAACUCGACUCCAUGAAGUCGGAAUCGCUAGUAAUCGUGGAUCAGAAUGCCACGGUGAAUACGUUCCCGGGCCUUGUACACACCGCCCGUCACACCAUGGGAGUGGGUUGCAAAAGAAGUAGGUAGCUUAACCUUCGGGAGGGCGCUUACCACUUUGUGAUUCA